Molecule: long non-coding RNA, 1332 nt
Organism: Patiria miniata (bat star)
Lineage: Eukaryota; Metazoa; Echinodermata; Asteroidea; Valvatida; Asterinidae
Exons: 4
Source: RefSeq, a predicted model, not a curated record
ACCCCCCCCCCCCCAAGUGAACGGGUACAACUUAUUGGCAGCCUGCCAUUAUCAGCGUCGGUACAUGUUCGUGUGCAUUAUGACAAAAAGAUCAUGUCUGUUUUUAAAAGUAAAUAAUGGAAACAUGGGUAGAAUCGUUUUCUGUUUGGUCAUAAGUGGCCAUUGCAGGUAGGCUUAGACAUAAUGCAUUGGAAUGUUUCACUUCAGUAACGAAUGGGCUUGGCCCAGUGUUUCCGUACCCCUGUUCACUUAGAAAAGAGUUGCAGCGUUCAAUCCGUUCAUCAAAGAAAGUGAUGAUCUAAAAGUUGAGACAGACUGGAUGAGCUAGGCCGCUUUGUCAGGACGAAAAUGAACCCUCCAAGGCUCCAACAGCCUCAUCACACAGAAACUCGAGGAACCGGAAGCAGGGAGGAGGACCGACAGAUGAACGGAUGACCUGCUUGCAGGGCUUCCCAUUACUGAUUCUUGAGAAAAAUGAUGACCACUGAAUGAUGAGUGAAUUGCUCUACUGAGAUGAUGAUGAUCCUGCCUCAAGACGUCGUCAGGGCUCCAACAGCCUCAUCAAACAGAAACCCGAGGAACCGGAAGCAGGGAGGAGGACCGACAGAUGAACGGAUGACCUGCUUGCAGGGCUUCCCAUGACUGAUUCUUGGGACAUGAGGACCACUGACUGAUGAGGGGGUUGCCUUGCUGAGAUGGAUGAGCCUGCCUCAAGCUGCCAUAAGGUGGGAGGACCGACGGUUGACUGACUCUGCCUGCUGGGCUGGCCAUUACCGAUUCUUAAGAAGACGAGGACUACCAAGCUUGGAUGAGACUGGACAAUGACGAAGCUGCUCUAUCUGGACAAGGAUGCCCUCAUCGGACACUUUCCAAUCUGCGUAAAUAUUGGAUCAGAAAUCAGACUGCAUAUUUUGCAAUAUUAUUAGUUUGAAAUAACAUACAAACGACGAAAAUACGAUUUAUUACUCCAAAUUUACAGCGAUAUUGGAAGUAAUAAUAUUAGUGUUAUUUGAUACCUUUACUGAGAUACCUAUACCUGAAAUAUUUGACUACGAAUGUGACGAACAAUGAAAACAAAAAUCAAAUCGGUCGAAAAAUAAAUUACAGCGAAAAUAAAAUGGUAGAUUUUCUUUUCGUAAAAAUACUACUCCGCUUCCUACAAGACUAGUGGCCGAAAAAAUGACGAAAAGUACACCAAGAAUCAAAGUGGCAAAUAUACCCUAAGUAAAAUGACGGAACGUGCGGCGUAAAAAAUCACAGCGUUCGUGAGUGAAAUAAUACUGAACAGCAGUGUUAUUUUUCUUAUCUUUAAAGUAAAAAAAAAAUCGGUUA